RNAcentral lists this ribosomal RNA (339 nucleotides) under uncultured Pseudomonadota bacterium. RNAcentral describes it as "bacterial SSU rRNA". It matches the Rfam family "Bacterial small subunit ribosomal RNA", at positions 29 to 351 of the family's 1533-position model. The record is from RNAcentral. Lineage: Bacteria; Pseudomonadati; Pseudomonadota.
AACGAACGCUGGCGGCGUGCCUAACACAUGCAAGUCGAGCGAGAAAGCUCCUUCGGGAGUGAGUAGAGCGGCGCACGGGUGAGUAACACGUGGGUAAUCUGCCCUUAGGUUUGGGAUAACCCGAGGAAACUCGGGCUAAUACCGAAUGAGACCACGGUUCAUGGGAAUUGUGGGAAAAGCGGGGGACUUCUUCGGAAGCCUCGCGCCAAAGGAUGAGCCCGCGGCCCAUCAGGUAGUUGGUAGGGUAAUGGCCUACCAAGCCUAAGACGGGUAGCUGGUCUGAGAGGAUGAUCAGUCACACUGGAACUGAGACACGGUCCAGACUCCUACGGGUGGCUG